ACGAGUUAGGGCCUCUGGCCCGAUCUCCAACCCUUUGUUAUCAAAACCUCGUUGCCUCGGGGGCGACCCUGCCUCGCGGCUGGUCCCCCGGAGGAUCACUACAACUCUGCAUUUGAAUGUCGUCUGAGUAAACAUUUUGAAUGAAAUCA
Molecule: unclassified non-coding RNA, 149 nt
Filed under: uncultured Capnodiales
Lineage: Eukaryota; Fungi; Ascomycota; Dothideomycetes; Capnodiales
Description: sequence contains ITS1
Source: RNAcentral